Anthonomus grandis grandis is the source of this 550-nucleotide long non-coding RNA. RefSeq lists it as uncharacterized. NCBI's taxonomy places the organism in Eukaryota, Metazoa, Arthropoda, Insecta, Coleoptera, Curculionidae. The transcript is spliced from 2 exons. The record is from RefSeq and is a predicted model, not a curated record.
GGUUAAUGAAUAAGCAAACAUAAAUAUUCAUAAAUUAUAUUUAUUUAAAAGCAGGUAUUCAAUUCGCUCAGUAAUAUUUUAAGCAACGUGUAAACAUCAAAGAUGAAUAAAAUUACUGCAGUUUUCCUAAUUUUGCAACUAGUUUUUGGGUUAUUGGCAGAAGACCCAUGUGCUGCCAUAAAAUGUAAAAGCCCUUUUGUUUGCAAAACAGGUACAAAUCCGUGCAUAGACAAAUGUGGAAUUAGAUCUUGCACCAAAGAAGCUCGUAUUGGAUGCUAUUGUCCGGAUGGGUAUUGUCGCAGCUGUGACGGAAUAUGUAUUAUUAGCAGAUAAAAAAAUCCUUAUCUCAAAAAGUACUUAAAUUAGUAUAUAUGAUUAAGGCUUUCCAAUUCAAUUAGUUAUUCUUAGGUAUUAAAUUCGGUCAAGGUGAAAUUGUUUAAAAAAAGUGCUAUACAACUGGUUCAUUUAUGUAUGUAAAAACAUGCAAAUGAAAGUAAAAUCGUUAUAAUUAAAAUACGUAUUUAAAAAGAGAAUAAAGUAGGUAAGAAAA